GAGCUAUGACGAGUCUUGUGUCAACUGUGAUGGCUGGGUCUGUCACCAUCGUCUGAAUCUUCCGACGAGAAGUGGCACUUCUGAGCUC
This is a small nucleolar RNA of Arachis stenosperma, 88 nucleotides long. RefSeq annotates it as small nucleolar RNA snoR114. The transcript has a single exon. NCBI's taxonomy places the organism in Eukaryota, Viridiplantae, Streptophyta, Magnoliopsida, Fabales, Fabaceae. The record is from RefSeq and is a predicted model, not a curated record.